RNAcentral lists this long non-coding RNA (251 nucleotides) under Elaeis guineensis (African oil palm). RNAcentral's name for it is "long non-coding RNA (EGUI_LNC030251)". Lineage: Eukaryota; Viridiplantae; Streptophyta; Magnoliopsida; Arecales; Arecaceae. The record is from RNAcentral.
CAAGACGAAAUUCUACUUUUUUGAUAUUAAGGAGUACUUUUUUUUUACCGAUGUAUAUUUCUUCAUUUAUAAUUAAGUAACUCUAAUUACAAGUAUUGUUCAUCUGAAGAGGAUUGAAAAAAAAAUUGAAAAGAUUAGCAAAUUAUUGAGUAUGUUCUAUGAUGCUAGUCUAAUAUUUUUAGGAGUUAAAUAUCCUACAUCGAACUCAUAUUUUCUUCAAAUUUUCUUAAUCGAGCUUACUUUGAGGCAAG